Molecule: ribosomal RNA, 484 nt
Filed under: uncultured bacterium
Lineage: Bacteria
Description: partial 16S ribosomal RNA
Rfam family: Bacterial small subunit ribosomal RNA
Source: RNAcentral
AUUGAACGCUGGCAGCAGGCCUAACACAUGCAAGUCGAGCGGAUGAAGGGAGCUUGCUCCUGGAUUCAGCGGCGGACGGGUGAGUAAUGCCUAGGAAUCUGCCUGGUAGUGGGGGAUAACGUCCGGAAACGGGCGCUAAUACCGCAUACGUCCUGAGGGAGAAAGUGGGGGAUCUUCGGACCUCACGCUAUCAGAUGAGCCUAGGUCGGAUUAGCUAGUUGGUGGGGUAAAGGCCUACCAAGGCGACGAUCCGUAUCUGGUCUGAGAGGAUGAUCAGUCACACUGGAACUGAGACACGGUCCAGACUCCUACGGGAGGCAGCAGUGGGGAAUAUUGGACAAUGGGCGAAAGCCUGAUCCAGCCAUGCCGCGUGUGUGAAGAAGGUCUUCGGAUUGUAAAGCACUUUAAGUUGGGAGGAAGGGCAGUAAGUUAAUACCUUGCUGUUUUGACGUUACCAACAGAAUAAGCACCGGCUAACUUCGUG